GACGAACGCUGGCGGCGUGCUUAACACAUGCAAGUCGAACGGAAAGGCCCUGCUUUUGUGGGGUGCUCGAGUGGCGAACGGGUGAGUAACACGUGAGUAACCUGCCCUUGACUUUGGGAUAACUUCAGGAAACUGGGGCUAAUACCGGAUAGGAUCUCCUGCUGCAUGGUGGGGGUUGGAAAUUUUCGGCGGUUGGGGAUGGACUCGCGGCUUAUCAGCUUGUUGGUGGGGUAGUGGCUUACCAAGGCUUUGACGGGUAGCCGGCCUGAGAGGGUGAACGGCCACAUUGGGACUGAGAGACGGCCCAGACUCCUACGGGAGGCAGCAGUGGGGAAUAUUGCGCAAUGGGCGGACGCCUGAUGCAGCAACGCCGCGGGCGGGAUGACGGCCUUCGGGUUGUAAACCGCUUUCGCCUGUGACGAAGCGUGAGUGACGGUAAUGGGUAAAGAAGCACCGGCUAACUACGUG
RNAcentral lists this ribosomal RNA (468 nucleotides) under uncultured bacterium. RNAcentral's name for it is "partial 16S ribosomal RNA". It matches the Rfam family "Bacterial small subunit ribosomal RNA", at positions 28 to 507 of the family's 1533-position model. The record is from RNAcentral.